GGGUUGUGAGGUUAAGCGACUAAGCGUACACGGUGGAUGCCCUGGCAGUCAGAGGCGAUGAAGGACGUGCUAAUCUGCGAUAAGCGUCGGUAAGGUGAUAUGAACCGUUAUAACCGGCGAUUUCCGAAUGGGGAAACCCAGUGUGAUUCGUCACACUAUCAUUAACUGAAUCCAUAGGUUAAUGAGGCGAACCGGGGGAACUGAAACAUCUAAGUACCCCGAGGAAAAGAAAUCAACCGAGAUUCCCCCAGUAGCGGCGAGCGAACGGGGAGCAGCCCAGAGCCUGAAUCAGUGUGUGUGUUAGUGGAAGCGUCUGGAAAGGCGCGCGAUACAGGGUGACAGCCCCGUACACAAAAAUGCACAUGCUGUGAGCUCGAUGAGUAGGGCGGGACACGUGGUAUCCUGUCUGAAUAUGGGGGGACCAUCCUCCAAGGCUAAAUACUCCUGACUGACCGAUAGUGAACCAGUACCGUGAGGGAAAGGCGAAAAGAACCCCGGCGAGGGGAGUGAAAAAGAACCUGAAACCGUGUACGUACAAGCAGUGGGAGCACGCUUAGGCGUGUGACUGCGUACCUUUUGUAUAAUGGGUCAGCGACUUAUAUUCUGUAGCAAGGUUAACCGAAUAGGGGAGCCGAAGGGAAACCGAGUCUUAACUGGGCGUUAAGUUGCAGGGUAUAGACCCGAAACCCGGUGAUCUAGCCAUGGGCAGGUUGAAGGUUGGGUAACACUAACUGGAGGACCGAACCGACUAAUGUUGAAAAAUUAGCGGAUGACUUGUGGCUGGGGGUGAAAGGCCAAUCAAACCGGGAGAUAGCUGGUUCUCCCCGAAAGCUAUUUAGGUAGCGCCUCGUGAAUUCAUCUCCGGGGGUAGAGCACUGUUUCGGCAAGGGGGUCAUCCCGACUUACCAACCCGAUGCAAACUACGAAUACCGGAGAAUGUUAUCACGGGAGACACACGGCGGGUGCUAACGUCCGUCGUGAAGAGGGAAACAACCCAGACCGCCAGCUAAGGUCCCAAAGUCAUGGUUAAGUGGGAAACGAUGUGGGAAGGCCCAGACAGCCAGGAUGUUGGCUUAGAAGCAGCCAUCAUUUAAAGAAAGCGUAAUAGCUCACUGGUCGAGUCGGCCUGCGCGGAAGAUGUAACGGGGCUAAACCAUGCACCGAAGCUGCGGCAGCGACGCUUAUGCGUUGUUGGGUAGGGGAGCGUUCUGUAAGCCUGCGAAGGUGUGCUGUGAGGCAUGCUGGAGGUAUCAGAAGUGCGAAUGCUGACAUAAGUAACGAUAAAGCGGGUGAAAAGCCCGCUCGCCGGAAGACCAAGGGUUCCUGUCCAACGUUAAUCGGGGCAGGGUGAGUCGACCCCUAAGGCGAGGCCGAAAGGCGUAGUCGAUGGGAAACAGGUUAAUAUUCCUGUACUUGGUGUUACUGCGAAGGGGGGACGGAGAAGGCUAUGUUGGCCGGGCGACGGUUGUCCCGGUUUAAGCGUGUAGGCUGGUUUUCCAGGCAAAUCCGGAAAAUCAAGGCUGAGGCGUGAUGACGAGGCACUACGGUGCUGAAGCAACAAAUGCCCUGCUUCCAGGAAAAGCCUCUAAGCAUCAGGUAACAUCAAAUCGUACCCCAAACCGACACAGGUGGUCAGGUAGAGAAUACCAAGGCGCUUGAGAGAACUCGGGUGAAGGAACUAGGCAAAAUGGUGCCGUAACUUCGGGAGAAGGCACGCUGAUAUGUAGGUGAAGUCCCUCGCGGAUGGAGCUGAAAUCAGUCGAAGAUACCAGCUGGCUGCAACUGUUUAUUAAAAACACAGCACUGUGCAAACACGAAAGUGGACGUAUACGGUGUGACGCCUGCCCGGUGCCGGAAGGUUAAUUGAUGGGGUCAGCGCAAGCGAAGCUCUUGAUCGAAGCCCCGGUAAACGGCGGCCGUAACUAUAACGGUCCUAAGGUAGCGAAAUUCCUUGUCGGGUAAGUUCCGACCUGCACGAAUGGCGUAAUGAUGGCCAGGCUGUCUCCACCCGAGACUCAGUGAAAUUGAACUCGCUGUGAAGAUGCAGUGUACCCGCGGCAAGACGGAAAGACCCCGUGAACCUUUACUAUAGCUUGACACUGAACAUUGAGCCUUGAUGUGUAGGAUAGGUGGGAGGCUUUGAAGUGUGGACGCCAGUCUGCAUGGAGCCGACCUUGAAAUACCACCCUUUAAUGUUUGAUGUUCUAACGUUGACCCGUGAUCCGGGUUGCGGACAGUGUCUGGUGGGUAGUUUGACUGGGGCGGUCUCCUCCUAAAGAGUAACGGAGGAGCACGAAGGUUGGCUAAUCCUGGUCGGACAUCAGGAGGUUAGUGCAAUGGCAUAAGCCAGCUUGACUGCGAGCGUGACGGCGCGAGCAGGUGCGAAAGCAGGUCAUAGUGAUCCGGUGGUUCUGAAUGGAAGGGCCAUCGCUCAACGGAUAAAAGGUACUCCGGGGAUAACAGGCUGAUACCGCCCAAGAGUUCAUAUCGACGGCGGUGUUUGGCACCUCGAUGUCGGCUCAUCACAUCCUGGGGCUGAAGUAGGUCCCAAGGGUAUGGCUGUUCGCCAUUUAAAGUGGUACGCGAGCUGGGUUUAGAACGUCGUGAGACAGUUCGGUCCCUAUCUGCCGUGGGCGCUGGAGAACUGAGGGGGGCUGCUCCUAGUACGAGAGGACCGGAGUGGACGCAUCACUGGUGUUCGGGUUGUCAUGCCAAUGGCACUGCCCGGUAGCUAAAUGCGGAAGAGAUAAGUGCUGAAAGCAUCUAAGCACGAAACUUGCCCCGAGAUGAGUUCUCCCUGACUCCUUGAGAGUCCUGAAGGAACGUUGAAGACGACGACGUUGAUAGGCCGGGUGUGUAAGCGCAGCGAUGCGUUGAGCUAACCGGUACUAAUGAACCGUGAGGCUUAACCUUACAACGCCGAAG
This 2925-nucleotide ribosomal RNA is filed under the name Escherichia coli. RNAcentral's name for it is "23S ribosomal RNA". It matches the Rfam family "Bacterial large subunit ribosomal RNA". Lineage: Bacteria; Pseudomonadati; Pseudomonadota; Gammaproteobacteria; Enterobacterales; Enterobacteriaceae. The record is from RNAcentral.